GCUGGCGGCGUGCUUAACACAUGCAAGUCGAACGAUGAAGAGCAGCUUGCUGCUUGGAUUAGUGGCGCACGGGUGAGUAAUAUAUAGGUAAUGUGCCUCUUAGUCUGGGAUAGCCAUUGGAAACGAUGAUUAAUACUGGAUACUCCUUCUAACUCUAAUGUUAGUCGGGAAAGUUUUUCGCUAAGAGAUCAGCCUAUAUCCCAUCAGUUAGUUGGUAAGGUAACGGCUUACCAAGGCAAUGACGGGUAGCGGGUUUGAGAGGAUGAUCCGCCACACUGGUACUGAGACACGGACCAGACUCCUACGGGAGGCAGCAGUGAGGAAUAUUGCACAAUGGGGGAAACCCUGAUGCAGCAACGCCGCGUGGAGGAUGACGCAUUUCGGUGUGUAAACUCCUUUUAUAUGUCAAGAAAAUGACGGUAGCAUAUGAAUAAGCACCGGCUAACUCCGUGCCAGCAGCCGCGGUAAUACGGAGGGUGCAAGCGUUACUCGGAAUCACUGGGCGUAAAGGACGCGUAGGCGGAUUGGAAAGUCAGAUGUGAAAUCCUACAGCUUAACUGUAGAACUGCAUUUGAAACUUCUAAUCUAGAGUAUGGGAGGGGGAGAUGGAAUUAGUGGUGUAGGGGUAAAAUCCGUAGAUAUCACUAGGAAUACCGAAAGCGAAGGCGAUCUCCUGGAACAUUACUGACGCUAAGGCGUGAAAGCGUGGGGAGCAAACAGGAUUAGAUACCCUGGUAGUCCACGCCCUAAACGAUGAACACUAGUCGUCGGGAUGCUUGUCAUCUCGGUGAUGCACUUAACAGAUUAAGUGUUCCGCCUGGGGAGUACGGUCGC
RNAcentral lists this ribosomal RNA (834 nucleotides) under uncultured bacterium. RNAcentral's name for it is "bacterial SSU rRNA". It matches the Rfam family "Bacterial small subunit ribosomal RNA", at positions 35 to 889 of the family's 1533-position model. The record is from RNAcentral.